Molecule: small nuclear RNA, 104 nt
Organism: Homo sapiens (human)
Lineage: Eukaryota; Metazoa; Chordata; Mammalia; Primates; Hominidae
Source: Ensembl
GUGCUCACUUACGCAGCACAUAUACUAAAAUUGGAAUGAUACAGAGAUUAGCACGGCCCCUGUGCACGGAUAACAUGCACAUUCAUGAAGCGUUCCAUAUUUUU